RNAcentral lists this ribosomal RNA (1439 nucleotides) under Salmonella enterica. RNAcentral's name for it is "partial 23S ribosomal RNA". It matches the Rfam family "Bacterial large subunit ribosomal RNA", at positions 161 to 1556 of the family's 2925-position model. The record is from RNAcentral. RNAcentral also lists the same sequence under 1 other name. Lineage: Bacteria; Pseudomonadati; Pseudomonadota; Gammaproteobacteria; Enterobacterales; Enterobacteriaceae.
AAUCCAUAGGUUAAUGAGGCGAACCGGGGGAACUGAAACAUCUAAGUACCCCGAGGAAAAGAAAUCAACCGAGAUUCCCCCAGUAGCGGCGAGCGAACGGGGAGGAGCCCAGAGCCUGAAUCAGCAUGUGUGUUAGUGGAAGCGUCUGGAAAGGCGCGCGAUACAGGGUGACAGCCCCGUACACAAAAGCGCAUGUGCUGUGAGCUCGAUGAGUAGGGCGGGACACGUGGUAUCCUGUCUGAAUAUGGGGGGACCAUCCUCCAAGGCUAAAUACUCCUGACUGACCGAUAGUGAACCAGUACCGUGAGGGAAAGGCGAAAAGAACCCCGGCGAGGGGAGUGAAAAAGAACCUGAAACCGUGUACGUACAAGCAGUGGGAGCACCCUUCGGGGUGUGACUGCGUACCUUUUGUAUAAUGGGUCAGCGACUUAUAUUCUGUAGCAAGGUUAACCGUAUAGGGGAGCCGGAGGGAAACCGAGUCUUAAUUGGGCGUUAAGUUGCAGGGUAUAGACCCGAAACCCGGUGAUCUAGCCAUGGGCAGGUUGAAGGUUGGGUAACACUAACUGGAGGACCGAACCGACUAAUGUUGAAAAAUUAGCGGAUGACCUGUGGCUGGGGGUGAAAGGCCAAUCAAACCGGGAGAUAGCUGGUUCUCCCCGAAAGCUAUUUAGGUAGCGCCUCGUGAAUUCAUCUCCGGGGGUAGAGCACUGUUUCGGCUAGGGGGCCAUCCCGGCUUACCAACCCGAUGCAAACUGCGAAUACCGGAGAAUGUUAUCACGGGAGACACACGGCGGGUGCUAACGUCCGUCGUGAAGAGGGAAACAACCCAGACCGCCAGCUAAGGUCCCAAAGUCAUGGUUAAGUGGGAAACGAUGUGGGAAGGCCCAGACAGCCAGGAUGUUGGCUUAGAAGCAGCCAUCAUUUAAAGAAAGCGUAAUAGCUCACUGGUCGAGUCGGCCUGCGCGGAAGAUGUAACGGGGCUAAACCAUGCACCGAAGCUGCGGCAGCGAACGUAUCACCCAAGACAACUUUACGGAGUUGACGAUUGACGGAGCGAAGCGACGUCAAAGCGUUCAUUAAAGUCGAGUUGGCUUAGGGAUACGUUCGUUGGGUAGGGGAGCGUUCUGUAAGCCUGUGAAGGUGUGUCGUGAGGCAUGCUGGAGGUAUCAGAAGUGCGAAUGCUGACAUAAGUAACGAUAAAGCGGGUGAAAAGCCCGCUCGCCGGAAGACCAAGGGUUCCUGUCCAACGUUAAUCGGGGCAGGGUGAGUCGACCCCUAAGGCGAGGCCGAAAGGCGUAGUCGAUGGGAAACGGGUUAAUAUUCCCGUACUUGGUGUUACUGCGAAGGGGGGACGGAGAAGGCUAUGUUGGCCGGGCGACGGUUGUCCCGGUUUAAGCGUGUAGGUGUGUGUUCCAGGUAAAUCCGGUUCACUUUAACAC